This 1159-nucleotide long non-coding RNA is filed under the name Durio zibethinus. RNAcentral's name for it is "long non-coding RNA (DZIB_LNC000393)". Lineage: Eukaryota; Viridiplantae; Streptophyta; Magnoliopsida; Malvales; Malvaceae. The record is from RNAcentral.
UCAACAAUCAGUUUGGGCUGACAGGCUAGAAUUGCUUUUAAAGUGGGCUUAGCUGUGACUGCUACCUGGACUGGGUAUGGAACCGGUUGUGAGCCUGGCACACACACAGGCACAGCUCAGCUCCCUUUUAAUUCCAAAUGCAGCGCUUCAUUGCUGCUGUAAAAGCCAUCUUAAAAAAAAAUUAUCCGUUUCUCCUCUCCCUAGUGCCAAAAAAAAAGACAACUUCCUUUCCUUCUUCAAAUAGGUACGGUUACCAAAACCCAGGAACUGAUUGUCGCUGUCCCUUGUCGUCGCCAGCCGCUGCCGUUCUUCGCCGGUGCCUUUACCUACUAGGGUCACGACCACCGCUACCUUCCGUCGCUGCUCACUUUUUUCCUGUUGUUUGUCUCCCAUUUUUAUUCCAAAGGACGUCUCCCGUUUGCAUUCAAACACAAGACAAAUCAAGUAGCAGCUUUCAAGCUGUCGACGAUCUCAAUUGCCUCCACCGAAGUAGGUCAUAAGCAUUACUGCCUUCCACCCCUGUGUAUUUCACCAAAAUGCCUAAGUCGCCUCUUCUCUACUAACCGAAAGGUCCCAAAAUAAAACUUCUGUUUAAAUCCAGAAACCCCAAAGAAAAUUAACUUCUGCCACCUUCUGGGUUUUGCACUCUUGUUGUUUUCUUAUGGCUUGACUCCUUGCUUUUGGGCUGUUUUUGUGCUUGACUAUUGGUUUCUGAUAAAAUUGGGUGGUUGUGGUGUUUUAGUGAUUGUGCACGGCUUCUGUGUUUUUUUCUCUGUAAUUAUUCUUGUUCAAUUGUGGCUGGGAAUGGAUUUUCUAAGAAUUAGGCUGGAAAUUGGAGUGAAUUGCUUCUGUCUAUUGUGGUGGUUUUGCAGGGAAUUAGGCUCGGCUAUGGAAGAUGGUGGCAAAAUUGGCUUGGUGGAAACUGGUGGUGGCACUGGUGGUUGCAAUUGAUUGCUUCCUGUAAUCAUUUUUUCUCCUCUGUUUUCUCCAUGAUUUUCACUGUCAAUUGCUGUUGUUUCUUUCUGGUGAUUCAGUGUAAGCUUAAAUUUAUUUAUAGGACGAGGGAGUGAGUGUCAGAUCACUUCAAAUUCAGUUUGAAACUGAGGAUUAUCACCUGAUUUAUCACCAAAGCCAAUCUUUUGUUUUCUCUUUUCUUUUU